This 693-nucleotide long non-coding RNA is filed under the name Homo sapiens (human). RNAcentral's name for it is "ZNF433 and ZNF878 antisense RNA 1, transcript variant 4 (ZNF433-AS1)". The record is from RNAcentral. Lineage: Eukaryota; Metazoa; Chordata; Mammalia; Primates; Hominidae.
AAUCCGCCGGAAGGAGGGCGCAGCAUUGCCGGUCUUCUCAUUGCCUGGCUGCUAGAGGAAACCCGAAGUCGGGAUUCUUUCUUUCCUGCUCUGAGAGGGACCAGGUCCCUCCUCCGUAGCUUUUGUCUCUCUAUUGCCUGCGCCGUGUCCUGGACUGCUCACGGGAGUUCUGCAGGAGACGCCGGAAUAUCUGGAAGCUGAAAAAUGGAAAUAAAUGGAAAGACCAGAAUAUUGAAGAUCACUACAGAAAUCUAAGGGUCAGGCAUGGUGGCUCACACCUGUAAUCCCAGCACUUUGGGAAGCAGAGGCAGUUGGAUCACUUGAACCUGGGAGGCGUUCUGGAGGUCAGGAGUUCGAGACCAGCUUGGCCAACAUGGUGAAACCCUGUGUCUGCUAAAAAUACAAAAAUUAGCCGGGCCUCAUGGCACAUGCCUGUAAUCCCAGCUACUCUGGAGGCUGAAGCAGGAGAAUCGCUUGAACCUGGGAGGCGGAGGUUGCAGUGAGCCGAGAUCACGCCACUGCUUCUUGCUUUAAAAGAAGAGUAAAGACAAGAGUGUUGGACCAGUAUUGCAGUUCUGUAGUAUCAUUUCUUAUAAAAAACAAAACAACAAUAAUUUAUCAAAAUUGGCAUAUAAAGACUGACAACAUUCUAAUAAAGGCACAAAUUUCUUUUUAAAAAAAAAAAAAAAAAAA